Onychomys torridus (southern grasshopper mouse) is the source of this 5203-nucleotide long non-coding RNA. RefSeq lists it as uncharacterized. Lineage: Eukaryota; Metazoa; Chordata; Mammalia; Rodentia; Cricetidae. The transcript has 4 exons. The record is from RefSeq and is a predicted model, not a curated record.
CUUGGAGGCUCUGGGACUGGAGUUAACUCUAUGAGCUCCCACAUGGGUUCUGUGAAUUGAACCCGGGUUCUCUGGAAACGCAUUUAGUACUCUUUCUUAACCACUGAGCCAGCUCUCCAGGCCUGUGCUUUUUUUAAGGCCAAGUCCAUCUCUUCUGUGAAACCUUCUCCAACCAUCAUUGCACAGACUCCCCGAACCUCGGAUCAGUAGCCCCAGGAGCAGGCCUUGGGUUGAAAUUGCCUCACUAGGUUCACGGUCUACCAGGGGGCAGGCCUCUGAGACUUAAGGACUAUCUCAGGAAGGUAGAACUUGCAUCUUAGGUGGUUUGGGUUGCGAGCAAAGCUAGUUCCCGUCCACAUUCCUAGUUUCCCCUUUAGCAGACGCUUGAACCCAGUGCUGCCACCUGCUGGGCAAACACAUUCCCUAUUUUUAAAAAGGCCUAACUAAUUAAAUAGCUUUUAUUUACAAAAGACAAAACCGACUAGCCACGGUCGGUCACAGCAGCAGUAGAAGGCAGUGGUGUAGUGAAGGUCCAGCUGUCUUGGUGACAGGUGUGUGUGCGUCCCCCUCUCCCAGGCUCAGCUUUCGGUCCCCACCCCGCCCCACUAACGGUCCCAAAUUAAGGCACAGCCCGCCCCCUCCCGCCCAGCCUGACCGAGGGGCCCCGCUGGGCCUAGAGCCCGUCCCGGAGCGCACUCAUCACGGAGGCCCGCGCAGAUGGGAGCAAGAGGUCUUUUAGUGCCGCCCCCCGCCGUCCCCAGCUCCGGCUCAGCUCAGCGGUGCGGCAGGCGGGUUAAGGACGAGCCGGAUGCGCUGCACGCACAACUCCGUGGCCUGCCGGGUCUCGCGGCACAGCGCCGCCAGGCUCAGGAAGCCAUGCGGCAGGUCCUCUACCACAUUCAGCGUCACCGGCUGGCCUAGGUCGCGCAGCCGCCGCGCGAACAUGACCGAGUCGUCCAGCAUGGGGUCCAGAGCGCACGCCUGGAGAGAGUGGGGGUCAGGGCUGCUGCCCGAAGGGACACGGUGAUGCAGAGGUUCCCCCCUGCACUGUCUCCUGCAAGGCAUAUCCGCUCUCCUGUUGAACCUAUUGUGGGGAGAAGGGUCCAGUCAUAGCCUGGCAUGACCUGGGAGAACUGGGCUCUCAGGUGGGGGUCCUGUGGUGACCAGCAGUGACUUCACUGGAUGUCUGGGACUCAGAAUCUCCAUCUGUAAGCAUGCUGGAGGCUCUCCCCUGCCCCGGCAGCUCACCGACAACACCUCGAUCUCAGUGAUGUUCCAGAAGGCUUUCCAGAAGUGCACAUCCAGGUUCUGUAUGAUCCGUUCAAACUCAGCCCCACGCAACUCUGGGUCUAUGGCGAAUCGGCCACCAGUGAAGAGGGAACUGGCAGUCACACCUGGGGGUCAGGAGUGUUCCCCGAAGGACACCAGCCCGAUGGAGAGAGUCUGCAGGAACGGCCGGAUGGCAGGUGUGAACUGUGAAGGGAUGCCUGUGUCACCCAACCACCAGGAGACGGAUGAGGAUGGGGCACAAAAGGGGACAGAGACAGGAGUGGGCACAUACACUUAGCAAGCUUUUAAUGUGUUCCUACAGUGUGCUGUGGGCUCACCCUGGGCCCCUUCAUGGACCUGGUGUCCUCAAGGGAAGGAGAUGAUGAACAAAUAAAGAUAUGUGCAGGGGAAUGUCUAACUCAACUAAUGAUCUGAAGAAAGGCACUAGGUGGAUGGGCUGCAGUGAUGACCACGGGCCAGGUUACCUGCCCAGGCUGAGAGCAGGGGUCUGCAUGAGGAGAGGCCAGAGCAAGCACAGAAGCUGAAGAUGCAGUGGCGCACAUGGGUAGUAAGGGAAAGGAGGCAUGGGUCAGAGAGAACGCAAUGGUGUGCCUGGAGCAGAGUAGGCCAAGAACAAGAGCAAGGGAGGUCCUAGAGGCAAAGAAAGCUCUUCUAAGGCCCAGGCUGAGGGACUGGGUUUCAUUCUGAGCAUCUGGAGGGCUGUGGACUGUGGAGUAAGAACACAUAGGCACUUCCUGAAGUCAGAAAGAACAAAGGGGUGAGACAGACAGUUGGGGCUGGGCACAGGGCAACUGAAAGCCAGAAAUGGGGACAUGACACAAGACAGGUCGAGAGAACUUGGGAAGAUCAGCUGAGGCCUAGACAGGGAUAAAUGGCUGUCAGGGAAGACACCUGGCAGGUGGUAGAGGGGAGGACAGACAGGAAGACAAGGAGAGCAGCAGAGGAGACUCAGCCUCGGGAGGCUAAGGAGUUAGCAGAAUUCUUGUUCAUUCUGGAAACUGUUCCACAGCAUGCAGGCUUUGGGAGGGAACAGGGACUGAGCAGUCUCAUCUGAGAUCUAGGGGCUCUGCCUUCCUGGAAGUUGACAUUUUAGAGGGUGAUGCAGUCUUGUGCUCUAGCAGAGCUGGGUCCUCAGGAGCUGGCAGGUGGCCCAGGCCGUGCUCUUGGCCAGGAACCCAGUAGGCCAAAGAGCACAGGAGCUGGCCUUUGUGGCUAGGACACUGAUUCAGGCAGCCUGGAACUUCUUGAUUUCCAGUGUUGAUGCCAGGGCAUGAAAGCAGGGAGAUGGCUAGCUCUGCUGGCCAGAUCAGUGUUUGUAGGUUUAUUUGGGUGAGGGAAGAACCCCAGAAAUAAUUGUGUUGGGCUGCUCAGGCCCAGGAAGCCUGGAGUGAUAGACAGGGACAGGGAAGCUGAAAGAGUGGUGGGCUCAUCUCUCGGUGAAGCGAGAGGAGGUCCUGAGUGGGCACAAGGACCAAAGCAUCACAUAGCUCCUGGAAUCCUUGCUGAGGUUCCUUCAUACAGCUGGUUGGGGUUGCCUGGAGCUAGCAUGACCCCAGACAAGGGCCUCCAUUCUGAUUUUAGUUUUCUAUGUUCCCCAGUUUUCUAGUCCCCAAAUCAAUCAUUUAGUUAUUUAUUUUUGAGACAGGGGUCUUUCUAUGUAGCUUUGGCUUGCCUGGUACAUCUGAUGUAGCUCAGGCUAGCCUCUAUCUCUAAAUAGUUCUGAGGGUAUUAGAUUGCCUCAAUUUCCACGUGGUGACAGGCUGCAUCUCUCUGAGGUGGUUUGGGAUGGGCAAAAGGUAGGAGAAGGCCCACAGCUAGGGUCAGAAUGUCUCGUUCAGGGAAGAGAUUAACCACAACCAGGUCUUCGUUGUCACCAACUCUGAUGGAUGAGUUGGUCCUGUCCUAAAGGCUGCCUAGAAAUCAUGUGGUUUCUACAGUGACAAAGCCCAGGUGCCAAUCUGCUAUCUGUGGGCUGGCACCUUCUUCCAUAUGGUCCAGAAUCCCAGGCAGGGGUGCACUCACACAGAAUGGACCUCUGAGAUCAAUACUGAUUACCUUCCUAGGCACUCAGACUCAAAUGAACCUCAGGGUUCAGUGGGCUGGAGAUACAGCUCAAUGGUGUGCUCACCUAACACUCGUAAUACUUGAAGGAAAAAGAAAAAGAGCAAAUGAAUCUCUUCUCCCCCCCCCACCUUUUGCUGGGUUGAAGCUCUGGCCUCAUGCAUGUUUGACAAGUGUUUUAUCACUGAGUUGUGGCCCCAGCCUUCUUGUUACUUUUGAGACAGGGUCUCCCUAAGAUACCAAGGUUGGCUUUCAUCUCACUCAGUAAGCUCAGCCAGGCCUUGGACUUGCAAUCCUCCUGCCUCAGCUUCCCAAGUAGUUGGGAUGUAACAGGCCUGAGUUACCAAAUCCAGCUGGUGAAGAGGUUUCUGAUACAUGGUAGGUCUAUCUAGUCAUGGCUCAUGAGUUGGAGACCUUGGAGUCCAGCUCUGAGCUCCUGCCAACUCUCCCUGCCAAUCUGUGCUCUGAUUUCCGAAUCCAGCCACUGUGGUGGCUGUGGCUCUACUUCAAGGAUAGGUUACCAGUGCCUUCACUGUGAAUCCAGGAGGACAUGGGGCAAGGGACUCACCUGGAAGCCCAGGCAGCGGCCGUAGAAGCAGCCUUUAUGUAGAGUGACAUACUCUUGCAGGAAGUCAGCGGUAAGUCCUUCAUCACCCUCAAAGAAGAGCACCCCUGGUCGGUUGAUAGCCAGCAGGCGCUGAGCGUAGUAGGCCAGGGCACGGAGCUGGGUGAGAGCAGCCAGGUAGGCCUCCAGUUCUGCUAGGUUGUGGCUGGCACGGAAAAAGAUACUUCGGCGAUUGGAGGCCACAUAGCGGGAUUUGUGUAGUAGGUGUGCUAGGCAGCAACGGGCUGUGUGCACCAAGCUACGGUAUCCAUUGGCUGGUGUCUCUGUGUCCAGGUCAAAAUGGUGUGCCACACCCAACAAGUGGCCUAGGGUUGGCUCCAGCCCCAGUGCCUGUUCUCGGACACCUGCAAAGACAUUGGACAGCCGCCGAGCUGUCUCUCCGGGGCCCUGGCUUGAGAAGAAGGCCGUGUUGUCCUCUGCAAGCGUCACCAGCGACUGUGUCAUUGUGCGCAGAUCCAUGCUGUGUGAGAAUGCCGAGGCUGUGGGGAGAUGGGAAGGUGUGCUGUGAUUACCUUGCUCUGUCAGGCCUGGGAGUCCAGGUCCCACCUUUCCUCCCUCAGGCCCAAGUACUCAAACCCAGGACCAUCCUUGCUUCGAUCCAGAAGUGCAAAGCUGUAGCCUCCUCCUUCAAGGCUCAAGGGUCUAUUCCAAACCUCCUAGAGAUUCAGGGACCUUCCGUUAUCUUCUUUCUCACAACUAGGAUUUUUAUCUCCUCUCUCCCGAGGUCUGGGGCCUCAACCUCUUUCUGCUUACCUGCUGGGAGUGGAAACUCCCAGACUUUUCCUUGCUCUGCCCUCUCCUUCUCGGAUCUAGGACUCCAGUCUCCUAAACCCCAGAGGACUUGGUUCACCAGUGCUGCUCCCUACCCCAGAAGCCGGCCCACCCUCUUCCUCUUCCUUCCAGGUAUUCAAGGGUGAACUCUAUCUUUGUUUACUCUCUUUAGAUUUGUCCUUGUUCCAGGAAAUCUGGAUGCCCGACGGUUCCCUUUCUCAAGACCCAUGUGCUCAAGCCCCAUCCCGGUUCCUUUUCAGUCUCCUGGUGUUGCCCACAAGCCCUUCCCUUCUAACAGUGAUGGGGAUGUUAACCCCCCAGUUCAGCCGUUACUGUCUCCUAGGACUUCCCUCCACACCUAGCCCUCCUUUUGAGCCCUGACCAUAAUUCCAGCAUCUCUGCACCAAGAACUCUCUCCUGGUCACUCCAGCUUGCCUGUAAAAUCCCCUCCAAACU